Molecule: long non-coding RNA, 1140 nt
Organism: Scatophagus argus
Lineage: Eukaryota; Metazoa; Chordata; Actinopteri; Scatophagidae
Exons: 2
Source: RefSeq, a predicted model, not a curated record
UUUAUGAUUGAAAGCAGGACUUUCACUUCAUCCACCACAAGCUAAGACCUUAAAGUACGUGGAGGCGUGUGCGCGUGAAGAAAUACACGUUACUCCUCAGUGGUAGACUGUGCUGUUAUUAAGUACUUGUACUCCACUAUGCAAACAGAACGUACGGCAGGCGUACCGUUUCCACGUCAAUGCAUCAAUAAGACUCGGCUUCGCAUGAAAACAGUUUUACUGUGACGGAGAGCUUUUAAACUUUUAACUUUUACAAAGUCGGUGAUGUGAAUGUUUCUUUAACCAGUGCAAACAAAGCUCAGCUCGUCGGCUCACCUGGCGUCGCGUCAGCUCACCUUUACGGCCAAACGUGUGUUUCCGCUGCCGGGACUGGCGACAGACUGGACGUUUUCCUCACCUUUUUGGACUUUCCCGACUCAUCCACCUCCCUCUCCAUCGAAGGUAUCGACACCUCAAUCAUGGGGAAAUCUUUCUCCAACACCAUCGGGACUUGGCACACCGUCGCAGAUUAACUUCCUACGGCUGACUGCAAACUGAGACGCUGACUUCAGCCGCUUUCCUCCGCGUCCAGGAACAAGAAAACACGACGAGUCCGCCUGUCGGCUGCCGCUCUGCGGUCGCCUUCCUCCGCUGCUCCACCUACACACUAAUUGAACAAACCCAGGAGUCAGGCGCAUCAGGGACGUUAAAGGUGCAGUCCAACAUUUAGGAGUAAAAGUCAGUGAGUUUACAACAACGCAGAGUUCAUCGUGUGGGCGGAGAGCGUGUCGGUUAAUGAAAGUUUAGUUUCCCUCUGCUGCUGGCUGGCAUCCAUCUGAAGGUGUGUCGUGUCUGAGGCUCAGAGCUUCGUGUGCCACACUUUUCUUUUGAGAAAGAAGAAAUGAUUUUAAACUUGUACCACAUACGGGCCGGGGCCGGGAUUUCCUCAGCCUCUGACAACUUUGACCAGACUCCUACUCUUCAAUUCACUUGUUCCUUUAUUUAUUUAUUUAUUCGGUGAAAGUUAGGCUGUUUUCUCAUUAAGAUUUAUUUCCUCAGCCUGCAGACUCUGAGGAAGACUUUUAUUAUGUUACUCUGUUUUUGCAUUUUUACUUGUGCUUCUGUGCACCACCUGAUGUUUAAUAAAAUUAAUUAACAUCA